RNAcentral lists this ribosomal RNA (253 nucleotides) under uncultured bacterium. RNAcentral's name for it is "partial 16S ribosomal RNA". It matches the Rfam family "Bacterial small subunit ribosomal RNA", at positions 524 to 776 of the family's 1533-position model. The record is from RNAcentral.
CACGAACUGUGCAAACGUUAUUCGGAAUCACUGGGCUUAAAGAGUUCGUAGGCGGCGCGUUAAGUCGGGUGUGAAAGCCCUCGGCCCAACCGAGGAAUUGCGCCCGAAACUGGCGUGCUUGAGUAAGAUAGAGGUGAGCGGAACUGAUGGUGGAGCGGUGAAAUGCGUUGAUAUCAUCAGGAACACCGGUGGCGAAGGCGGCUCACUGGGUCUUAACUGACGCUGAGGAACGAAAGCUAGGGGAGCGAACGGG